GACAGAGGGGGCAAGCGUUGCUCGGGAUUACUGGGCGUAAAGGGCGCGUAGGCGGGAUGGCAAGUCGGUCGUGAAAUCCCUCGGCUCAACUGAGGAUCGUCGAUCGAUACUGCCGUUCUUGAGGAUUGCAGAGGAGACUGGAAUUCCCGGUGUAGCGGUGAAAUGUGUAGAGAUCGGGAGGAACACCGGUGGCGAAGGCGGGUCUCUGGGCAAUUCCUGACGCUGAGGCGCGAAAGCGUGGGGAGCAAACGGG
This 253-nucleotide ribosomal RNA is filed under the name uncultured bacterium. RNAcentral's name for it is "partial 16S ribosomal RNA". It matches the Rfam family "Bacterial small subunit ribosomal RNA", at positions 524 to 776 of the family's 1533-position model. The record is from RNAcentral.